This 158-nucleotide ribosomal RNA is filed under the name uncultured bacterium. RNAcentral describes it as "partial 16S ribosomal RNA". It matches the Rfam family "Bacterial small subunit ribosomal RNA", at positions 355 to 509 of the family's 1533-position model. The record is from RNAcentral.
UGAGGAAUAUUGGUCAAUGGCCGGAAGGCUGAACCAGCCAAGUCGCGUGAGGGAAGACGGCCCUACGGGUUGUAAACCUCUUUUGUCAGGGAGCAAACCUCUCCACGCGUGGGGAGUCGAGAGUACCUGAAGAAAAAGCAUCGGCUAACUCCGUCGCC